This 30-nucleotide non-coding RNA is filed under the name Homo sapiens (human). The record is from RNAcentral. Lineage: Eukaryota; Metazoa; Chordata; Mammalia; Primates; Hominidae.
UCCUUGCAGAGGUGCUGAGGAUUGAAUGAG